CUGAAAUUGCGCCAAAAAAUCGUGAGAUGUUUGUGGUAUUUAGAAGCUGGCUUAUUUGGAAUAUCUGUCCAGCUCAAAAAUGGCUCCAGCGGUUAGAAACAGGUGAUGGCAUGGCAGAAUGGCUUUAUGGAAACUUCAAGCAUAUGACAGCUUAAUUUUCUUCAACAAGGCUGUGAGACCAGUUUGCAGGUGAUGCUAAAGUUAUCAGAUCUACAGCACCAGUUGAUAUACAGCCAACACUUAUUGUCUAGUUCAUUGUCAAAAGAAAUGUUUGUGCCUCUCUUGUUACAACAGCUGGCUUAUUUGGAAUAUCUGUCCAGCUAAAAAAUGGCUCCAGCGGUUAGAAACAGGUGAUGGCAUGGCAGAAUGGCUUUAUGGAAACUUCAAGCAUGUGACAGCUUAAUUUUCUUCCACAAGGCUGUGAGACCAGUUUGCAGGUGAUGCUAAAGUUAUCAGAUCUACAGCACCAGUUGACAUACAGCCAACACUUAGUGUCUAGUUCAUUGUCAAAAGAAAUGUUUGUGCCUCUUUUGUUACAACAGCUGGCUUAUUUGGAAUAUCUGUCCAGCUCAAAAAUGGCUCCAGCGGUUAGAAACAGGUGAUGGCAUGGCAGAAUGGCUUUAUGGAAACUUCAAGCAUGUGACAGCUUAAUUUUCUUCCACAAGGCUGUGAGACCAGUUUGCAGGUGAUGCUAAAGUUAUCAGAUCUACAGCACCAGUUGACAUACAGCCAACACUUAGUGUCUAGUUCAUUGUCAAAAGAAAUGUUUGUGCCUCUUUUGUUACAACAGCUGGCUUAUUUGGAAUAUCUGUCCAGCUCAAAAAUGGCUCCAGCGGUUAGAAACAGGUGAUGGCAUGGCAGAAUGGCUUUAUGGAAACUUCAAGCAUGUGACAGCUUAAUUUUCUUCCACAAGGCUGUGAGACCAGUUUGCAGCCUUAGGUCAUGCUCCCCAUCAUAUGUCCCAUGCAAGCCCAACCCAGAAAAUGCACAGCUAACAUUCACGGUGAUGCUAAAGUUAUCAGAUCUACAGCACCAGUUGAUAUACAGCCAACACUUAGUGUCUAGUUCAUUGUCAAAAGAAAUGUUUGUGCCUCUUUUGUUACAACAGCUGGCUUAUUUGGAAUAUCUGUCCAGCUAAAAAAUGGCUCCAGCGGUUAGAAACAGGUGAUGGCAUGGCAGAAUGGCUUUAUGGAAACUUCAAGCAUGUGACAGCUUAAUUUUCUUCCACAAGGCUGUGAGACCAGUUUGCAGGUGAUGCUAAAGUUAUCAGAUCUACAGCACUAGUUGACAUACAGCCAACACUUAGUGUCUAGUUCAUUGUCAAAAGAAAUGUUUGUGCCUCUUUUGUUACAACAGAUCCAGCAAUGUGAAGCGAGGGGCCAUAAUGUGUAAAGAGGUCUUAACCUCAACUGCGUCUGCUGAAGAAAUGCUUCUGUCCAAUCGCUAGACUACUGGCAAAUGAGAUGAGGUGUAGAAUGUUGACAAAAACCUCACAUCCAGGCUGCAAGUUGGUGUUUUAACAGCUGGAGUACGUGUGUGUUUUGCGUAACUGCUGCUCUCACAACUCGUGUACCCAUGGAAAGGGAUUGUCCUUGGCGUUCCUGUUUGAACUAUAAACUUGGCUAUUUAAUAAAAUGCUAAUUAAGUGUUUCUGAUUAUCUGUUCUAUUAAUAAAGCUGUGACUUAUCUUA
Molecule: long non-coding RNA, 1691 nt
Organism: Bombina bombina (fire-bellied toad)
Lineage: Eukaryota; Metazoa; Chordata; Amphibia; Anura; Bombinatoridae
Exons: 14
Source: RefSeq, a predicted model, not a curated record